CACCGCGGUUAUACGAGAGGCUCAAAUUGAUAUUCCACGGCGUAAAGCGUGAUUAAAGAAAAUAAAUACUAAAGCCGAACACCUCCUUAACUGUUAUACGUUUAAAGAGACACGAAGCCCCAUAACGAAAGUAGCUUUAACCCAAAAUCUUGAACUCACGAAAGUUAAGAAA
This 172-nucleotide ribosomal RNA is filed under the name Ophisurus macrorhynchos. Its description in RNAcentral is "partial 12S rRNA". The record is from RNAcentral. Lineage: Eukaryota; Metazoa; Chordata; Actinopteri; Anguilliformes; Ophichthidae.